GACGAACGCUGCCGGCGUGCUUAACACAUGCAAGUCGAACGGAAAGGCCUGCAGCUUGCUGCGGGUACUCGAGUGGCGAACGGGUGAGUAACACGUGGGUGAUCUGCCUUGCACUUCGGGAUAAGCUUGGGAAACUGGGUCUAAUACCGGAUAGGGCAGCUGUUUAGUGUCAGUUGUGGAAAGUUUUUUCGGUGCAAGAUGAGCUCGCGGCCUAUCAGCUUGUUGGUGGGGUAAUGGCCUACCAAGGCGUCGACGGGUAGCCGGCCUGAGAGGGUGUACGGCCACAUUGGGACUGAGAUACGGCCCAGACUCCUACGGGAGGCAGCAGUGGGGAAUAUUGCACAAUGGGCGGAAGCCUGAUGCAGCGACGCCGCGUGGGGGAUGAAGGCCUUCGGGUUGUAAACUCCUUUCGACAGGGACGAAGCGUAAGUGACGGUACCUGUAUAAGAAGCACCGGCUAACUACGUGCCAGCAGCCGCGGUAAUACGUAGGGUGCGAGCGUUGUCCGGAAUUACUGGGCGUAAAGAGCUCGUAGGUGGUUUGUCGCGUCGUCUGUGAAAUUCCGGGGCUUAACUCCGGGCGUGCAGGCGAUACGGGCUGACUUGAGUGCUGUAGGGGAGACUGGAAUUCCUGGUGUAGCGGUGAAAUGCGCAGAUAUCAGGAGGAACACCGAUGGCGAAGGCAGGUCUCUGGGCAGUAACUGACGCUGAGGAGCGAAAGCAUGGGUAGCGAACAGGAUUAGAUACCCUGGUAGUCCAUGCCGUAAACGGUGGGCGCUAGGUGUAGGGGGCUUCCACGUCUUCUGUGCCGUAGCUAACGCAUUAAGCGCCCCGCCUGGGGAGUACGGCCCGCAGGCUA
This 858-nucleotide ribosomal RNA is filed under the name uncultured Actinomycetes bacterium. Its description in RNAcentral is "bacterial SSU rRNA". It matches the Rfam family "Bacterial small subunit ribosomal RNA", at positions 28 to 896 of the family's 1533-position model. Lineage: Bacteria; Bacillati; Actinomycetota; Actinomycetes. The record is from RNAcentral.